Molecule: ribosomal RNA, 503 nt
Filed under: uncultured bacterium
Lineage: Bacteria
Description: partial 16S ribosomal RNA
Rfam family: Bacterial small subunit ribosomal RNA
Source: RNAcentral
AUUGAACGCUGGCGGCAGGCUUAACACAUGCAAGUCGAGCGGGGUGAUGGUGCUUGCACUAUCACUUAGCGGCGGACGGGUGAGUAAUGCUUAGGAAUCUGCCUAUUAGUGGGGGACAACAUCUCGAAAGGGAUGCUAAUACCGCAUACGUCCUACGGGAGAAAGCAGGGGAUCACUUGUGACCUUGCGCUAAUAGAUGAGCCUAAGUCGGAUUAGCUAGUUGGUGGGGUAAAGGCCUACCAAGGCGACGAUCUGUAGCGGGUCUGAGAGGAUGAUCCACCACGCUGGGACUGGGACACGGCCCAGAGUCCUACGGGAGGCAGCAGUGGGGAAUAUUGGACAAUGGGGGGAACCCUGAUCCAGCCAUGCCGCGUGUGUGAAGAAGGCCUUAUGGUUGUAAAGCACUUUAAGCGAGGAGGAGGCUCUUUUGGUUAAUACCCAGAAUGAGUGGACGUUACUCGCAGAAUAAGCACCGGCUAACUCUGUGCCAGCAGCCGCGGUAA